Molecule: transfer RNA, 83 nt
Filed under: Didymella glomerata
Lineage: Eukaryota; Fungi; Ascomycota; Dothideomycetes; Pleosporales; Didymellaceae
Also listed under: 2 other names
Description: tRNA-Val
Source: RNAcentral
GGUUCGAUGGUGUAGUUGGUUAUCACGUCAGUCUAACAUUGUUAGCUCACUGAAGGUCUCCAGUUCAAGUCUGGGUCGAAUCA